GUGGGUGUGAGGAGAUAGCAGACUCAGCCUGGAGGACUCCAAGUUAAUCAGCUCACGUCCCCAAGCUAGGAAGGACACCUUGCAGAAAAGAACACGACCAAACACUCCUACCAGUGUUUGGGUCUCCGCGGCCCACAGGCUGUCCGUGUGUUCCCUGGUCAGCUGGAGCUGGGCAGCAGGAAGCCUGACUCCAGGAGCUAAGGAGCCGCUCGCUGCAGACGCCAGUGCAGCCAGGCUGGAAGCGGUGCAUGGCACAUCAGAACUUAGCAGGGGAUUACUCAAGCCUUGGCCUCCUUCCAAAGCUCUAGCCAUCACAUCCAACAGCCCACUCAACGUUGCUGCUACCAUGACUAACAGACAACCCAAAUGUCAUCUGUCUGACAGAGCCAGCCCGAGCCUGUAUUUCCAAAUCUUCUCUUUAUCAGUAAAUGACAACACUGCUCCCCGCCUCA
Non-coding RNA from Peromyscus maniculatus bairdii (prairie deer mouse), 452 nucleotides. The record is from RefSeq and is a predicted model, not a curated record. NCBI's taxonomy places the organism in Eukaryota, Metazoa, Chordata, Mammalia, Rodentia, Cricetidae.